AGUGAACGCUGGCGGUAGGCCUAACACAUGCAAGUCGAACGGCAGCACAGUAAGAGCUUGCUCGUACGAGUGGCGAGUGGCGGACGGGUGUGGAAUACAUCGGAAUCUACUUUUUCGUGAGGUAUAACGUCGGGAAACUUACGCUACUACCGCAUACGACCUCCGGGUGAAAGCAGGGGCUCUUCGGACCUUGCGCGAUUGAAUGCGCCGAUGUCGGAUUAGCUAGUUGGCGGGGAAAAGGCCCACCAAGGCGACGAUCCGUAGCUGGUCUGAGAGGAUGGUCAGCCACAUUGUAACUGAGACAGGGUCCAGACUCCUACGGGAGGCAGCAGUGGGGAAUAUUGGACAAGGGGCGCAAGCCUGAUCCAGCCAUACCGCGUGGGUGAAGAAGGCCUUCGGGUUGUAAAGCCCUUUUGUUGGGAAAGAAAAGCAGCAGGUUAAUACCCCGCUGUUCUGACGGUACCCAAAGAAUAAGCACCGGCUAACUUCGUG
Molecule: ribosomal RNA, 492 nt
Filed under: uncultured bacterium
Lineage: Bacteria
Description: partial 16S ribosomal RNA
Rfam family: Bacterial small subunit ribosomal RNA
Source: RNAcentral